AUUGAACGCUGGCGGCAUGCCUUACACAUGCAAGUCGAACGGCAGGCACGGGUGCUUGCACCUGGUGGCGAGUGGCGAACGGGUGAGUAAUAUAUCGGAACGUACCUUAUCGUGGGGGAUAACGCAGCGAAAGCUGCGCUAAUACCGCAUACGCCCUGAGGGGGAAAGCGGGGGACCGUAAGGCCUCGCGCGAUUAGAGCGGCCGAUAUCUGAUUAGCUUGUUGGUGGGGUAAAAAGCCCACCAAGGCGACGAUCAGUAGCUGGUCUGAGAGGACGAUCAGCCACACUGGGACUGAGACACGGCCCAGACUCCUACGGGAGGCAGCAGUGGGGAAUUUUGGACAAUGGGGGCAACCCUGAUCCAGCAAUGCCGCGUGAGUGAAGAAGGCCUUCGGGUUGUAAAGCUCUUUUGUCAGGGAAGAAACAGCAGCUCUAACACAGUCUGCGAAUGACGGUACCUGAAGAAUAAGCACCGGCUAACUACGUG
This 487-nucleotide ribosomal RNA is filed under the name uncultured bacterium. RNAcentral's name for it is "bacterial SSU rRNA". It matches the Rfam family "Bacterial small subunit ribosomal RNA", at positions 30 to 507 of the family's 1533-position model. The record is from RNAcentral.